AUUGAACGCUGGCGGCAUGCUUUACACAUGCAAGUCGAACGGCAGCGCGGGCUUCGGCCUGGCGGCGAGUGGCGAACGGGUGAGUAAUACAUCGGAACGUGCCCAGUAGUGGGGGAUAGCUCGGCGAAAGCCGGAUUAAUACCGCAUACGACCUGAGGGUGAAAGCGGGGGAUCUUCGGACCUCGCGCUAUUGGAGCGGCCGAUGGCAGAUUAGCUAGUUGGUGGGGUAAAGGCCUACCAAGGCGACGAUCUGUAGCUGGUCUGAGAGGACGACCAGCCACACUGGGACUGAGACACGGCCCAGACUCCUACGGGAGGCAGCAGGGGGGAAUUUUGGACAAUGGGCGAAAGCCUGAUCCAGCAAUGCCGCGUGUGUGAUGAAGGCCUUCGGGUUGUAAAGCACUUUUGGCGGGAACGAAAAGGACUGUGCCAAUACCACGGUUCGAUGACGGUACCCGCAGAAUAAGCACCGGCUAACUACGU
RNAcentral lists this ribosomal RNA (483 nucleotides) under uncultured bacterium. Its description in RNAcentral is "partial 16S ribosomal RNA". It matches the Rfam family "Bacterial small subunit ribosomal RNA", at positions 29 to 506 of the family's 1533-position model. The record is from RNAcentral.